ACAGAACUGAAAUCCUAAAUUUGCAUCUGUACAUUUCUCCUCUGUAGGCUAUAUAGGCAGAUUAUAUCUGUUCAUUCUCUGUAUAUAGGUAAACAUCUUUCUCAGUAAAUUUAUACGUUUGUACAUUGUACACACUGGACAGCACAUUCCAUAUUCUAUAUUUUGUACAUACUCCCCUAUAUCA
This is a long non-coding RNA of Sphaeramia orbicularis (orbiculate cardinalfish), 184 nucleotides long. RefSeq lists it as uncharacterized. Lineage: Eukaryota; Metazoa; Chordata; Actinopteri; Kurtiformes; Apogonidae. The transcript has 3 exons. The record is from RefSeq and is a predicted model, not a curated record.